This 219-nucleotide non-coding RNA is filed under the name Ureibacillus manganicus. RNAcentral's name for it is "Lysinibacillus manganicus T-box sequence". It matches the Rfam family "T-box leader". From Rfam's summary of the family: Uncharged tRNA acts as the effector for transcription antitermination of genes in the T-box leader family. T-boxes are found upstream of many aminoacyl-tRNA synthetase genes and some amino acid biosynthetic genes usually in Gram-positive bacteria. The anticodon of a specific tRNA base pairs to a specifier sequence within the T-box motif, and the NCCA acceptor tail of the tRNA base pairs to a conserved bulge in the T-box antiterminator hairpin. Lineage: Bacteria; Bacillati; Bacillota; Bacilli; Caryophanales; Caryophanaceae. The record is from RNAcentral.
CAAAGCGCAUUAGAAGGAGAAGUACGUAAAAAAUGUUUUAAAGAGAGGGUCAUCACCGGCUGAGAGUGACCUAAACCUCUAUUUUACGGAAAUGCACCUUUCGAGCACGAUGCUGAAACUAAGUAGGCACGUCGGAUCGUCCUCGUUAUUGGACUUUUGAGUGGAAGGCACUAUGUUGCUUUCAAUCAGAGUGGAACCGCGUUUAUAAACGUCUCUGUC